Molecule: long non-coding RNA, 791 nt
Organism: Scophthalmus maximus (turbot)
Lineage: Eukaryota; Metazoa; Chordata; Actinopteri; Pleuronectiformes; Scophthalmidae
Exons: 3
Source: RefSeq, a predicted model, not a curated record
CAGAACAUGAGCGCUCGCCUCGUCGCCUCGUCCCGCACGCAGCUUCCUCUCCGCCCGCCUCCGGACGCCGGUGUUCCGUUGCUGGCUCCUGCCGCGCGCGCCGGUGAAAGGUCGUCACGCACGCUCCACUCGGAACCAGACAUCAGUCUUUGCUGAUGGUGGCCCACGCUGAAGUGUCCCAGCUGCCUGUGUAGUCCAUAGAGAGUAUUAGUAAGUCCUCUGAACUCACCUGACAAGAAAAAACCAGAGUCCAUAACCAAGGAGAUGAGUCUCUUCUCAGUCGCAGUGAAAAUCCAGAAACCUUCUAGCUACCUGGGCAGGGUUGAAUGUUGCAGUCCUGAUACUCCACCGGGGAUCCUACGCAGGAGCUCGGGUUGGUCCUGCCCUCUGCCGUCGAGCAGCUACGUUUGCGGGUUCGGAAGCCCCUGGAACACUGCUGUGAACAGCUGGACCAUGUUUCCCAGGACCCCCAGCGAGCAUCUUGGGGCUGGGACGGAGUGCGACCACUAAUCUUCACCAAGUCUUCAACCAGAGCUAGGAAAAAUGAAAUGUCUUUGUUUUUAUUAAAAAUCUAAAUGCACAAUUAAAGCACCGUUUGCUUUUCAGUGCCCAGUGUCCCGACAUCUUUAGAAACAACCUGCUGGUGACAAACAGAGGAAAACGUGGCAACAGUUGUGUUUUUGCCAGCCACGCUGCAGAGUGAGAGUACUCACAGUCAGUCUGACAGGCUCCAGACCUGUCACUGGGACAGAAGCGGGUCUCCACCUUCUUCUUGCCCAGCUGGAGCUGCU